RNAcentral lists this long non-coding RNA (632 nucleotides) under Numida meleagris (helmeted guineafowl). Its description in RNAcentral is "lncRNA (ENSNMEG00000010475.1)". Lineage: Eukaryota; Metazoa; Chordata; Aves; Galliformes; Numididae. The record is from RNAcentral.
CUUUCCUGCAGUGUUGCCUCUGUUCUAAUGUAUAGUUGUUGGUGAUGCAGGAUUUAAUAUAGGGAAAGUUCUGGAAAAAAUGAAGGAAAUCUUGCUGCUGACUUUAUCAGUGGCUUGGCAACUUAUUGGGAGACAUUAACGUUCUGUUGAUUCAUCUGUGCUAUCAAAGUUUGGGGUUCUGAACAAUGCAGUGGCUUACAGAACCUGCUCAGACUUUUUUAUUUCCUUUCAUCCCAGUGCAGAUGCUGCUGUCCAAACAGCCUUUGGGGAAAAUUUCCUUUGUGGGACACGGACAUGACAGUGGAAAUAGCUGGAGCCUGCUGAAGCAAUGCUGGGUUGAUGUUGGAGCAAAUGGGGAAAGCUGUUGUCAGGGAAGAAUAGGGAGAACUACUUGAGCAGAAUGCAGCCAGAGUGGAAACUCUCCUUCAGCCAAAGCAAUUUAUCACCAGUUUCCUCAAAGGUGCAAGAAUGUACCAGAAAGAUCCAUCACUACAACGCAUAUAGGUAAACACAAAACAGAUAUUUGUAAGGGAAAGUACUGCUGUAAAAGAAAGAUAGGAUAUGAUAUGGGUAAUUUAAAAAUCUCAACUUCUACUCUAUUUUCAAAAUUGACUGGUGUUUGUAUGGUCUCA